This 61-nucleotide non-coding RNA is filed under the name Sus scrofa (pig). The record is from RNAcentral. Lineage: Eukaryota; Metazoa; Chordata; Mammalia; Artiodactyla; Suidae.
GGCGGCUUCAGGUCCGGGGGCGUCAUGGAACUAAUUCGCUGACCGACCCACCGGCCGCAGC